CCUACGGGCGGCUGCAGUGGGGAAUAUUGGACAAUGGGCGAAAGCCUGAUCCAGCCAUGCCGCGUGUGUGAAGAAGGCCUUCGGGUUGUAAAGCACUUUCAGUGGGGAAGAAAGCCUUGGGGCUAAUACCCUCGAGGAAGGACAUCACCCACAGAAGAAGCACCGGCUAACUCCGUGCCAGCAGCCGCGGUAAUACGGAGGGUGCGAGCGUUAAUCGGAAUUACUGGGCGUAAAGCGCGCGUAGGCGGUCUGAUAAGCCGGUUGUGAAAGCCCCGGGCUCAACCUGGGAACGGCAUCCGGAACUGUCAGGCUAGAGUGCAGGAGAGGAAGGUAGAAUUCCCGGUGAAGCGGUGAAAUGCGUAGAGAUCGGGAGGAAUACCAGUGGCGAAGGCGGCCUUCUGGACUGACACUGACGCUGAGGUGCGAAAGCGUGGGUAGCAAACAGGAUUAGAUACCCCAGUAGUC
This 465-nucleotide ribosomal RNA is filed under the name Vreelandella stevensii. Its description in RNAcentral is "partial 16S ribosomal RNA". It matches the Rfam family "Bacterial small subunit ribosomal RNA", at positions 338 to 795 of the family's 1533-position model. Lineage: Bacteria; Pseudomonadati; Pseudomonadota; Gammaproteobacteria; Oceanospirillales; Halomonadaceae. The record is from RNAcentral.